AUUGAACGCUGGCGGCAGGCCUAACACAUGCAAGUCGAGCGGAUGAAGGGAGCUUGCUCCUGGAUUCAGCGGCGGACGGGUGAGUAAUGCCUAGGAAUCUGCCUGGUAGUGGGGGAUAACGUCCGGAAACGGGCGCUAAUACCGCAUACGUCCUGAGGGAGAAAGUGGGGGAUCUUCGGACCUCACGCUAUCAGAUGAGCCUAGGUCGGAUUAGCUAGUUGGUGGGGUAAAGGCCUACCAAGGCGACGAUCCGUAACUGGUCUGAGAGGAUGAUCAGUCACACUGGAACUGAGACACGGUCCAGACUCCUACGGGAGGCAGCAGUGGGGAAUAUUGGAAGAUGGGCGAAAGCCUGAUCCAGCCAUGCCGCGUGUGUGAAGAAGGUCUUCGGAUUGUAAAGCACUUUAAGUUGGGAGGAAGGGAAGUAAGUUAAUACCUUGCUGUUUUGACGUUGCCAACAUAAUAAGCACCGGCUAACUUGGUG
RNAcentral lists this ribosomal RNA (484 nucleotides) under uncultured bacterium. RNAcentral describes it as "partial 16S ribosomal RNA". It matches the Rfam family "Bacterial small subunit ribosomal RNA", at positions 30 to 507 of the family's 1533-position model. The record is from RNAcentral.